Molecule: ribosomal RNA, 431 nt
Filed under: uncultured bacterium
Lineage: Bacteria
Description: partial 16S ribosomal RNA
Rfam family: Bacterial small subunit ribosomal RNA
Source: RNAcentral
UAGGGAAUCUUCCACAAUGGACGCAAGUCUGAUGGAGCAACGCCGCGUGAGUGAAGAAGGCUUUCGGGUCGUAAAACUCUGUUAUUGAAGAAGAACGUGUGUGACAGUAACUGGUCAUGCAGUGACGGUAUUCAAUCAGAAAGUCACGGCUAACUACGUGCCAGCAGCCGCGGUAAUACGUAGGUGGCAAGCGUUGUCCGGAUUUAUUGGGCGUAAAGCGAGUGCAGGCGGUCUUUUAAGUCUGAUGUGAAAGCCUUCGGCUUAACCGAAGAAGGGCAUCGGAAACUGGGAGACUUGAGUGCAGAAGAGGAGAGUGGAACUCCAUGUGUAGCGGUGAAAUGCGUAGAUAUAUGGAAGAACACCAGUGGCGAAGGCGGCUCUCUGGUCUGUAACUGACGCUGAGGCUCGAAAGCGUGGGUAGCAAACAGGAU